AUGGCCUGAACCCCUCUCCUGCUCCCUCUCCUCAUUCUCUGCACAGGUUCUGUGGCCUCUUCUGAGCUGACACAACCAUCUGCAGUGUCUGUGGCCUUGGCACAGACAGCCACCAUCACCUGCCAGGGAGACAGCUUAAGAAACAGUUAUGCGAGCUGGUACCAUCAGAAGCCAGGCCAGGCUCCUGUGCUUGUCAUCUAUGGUAGUAACAACCGGGCCUCAGGGAUCCCUGACAGAUUCUCCAGCUCCCAAUCAGGGAACACAGCCACCCUGACCAUCCGCGGAGCCCAGGCCGAGGACGAGGCUGACUAUUACUGUCACUCAGGAAAAGAUUAUUAUAGUUAUGAAGCUCACAGUGUCAAAGGCUAA
Non-coding RNA from Equus quagga, 369 nucleotides. The record is from the annotation of a RefSeq genome assembly. NCBI's taxonomy places the organism in Eukaryota, Metazoa, Chordata, Mammalia, Perissodactyla, Equidae.